AGUGAACGCUGGCGGUAGGCCUAACACAUGCAAGUCGAACGGCAGCACAGUAAGAGCUUGCUCUUACGGGUGGCGAGUGGCGGACGGGUGAGGAAUACAUCGGAAUCUACUUUUUCGUGGGGGAUAACGUAGGGAAACUUACGCUAAUACCGCAUACGACCUACGGGUGAAAGCAGGGGAUCUUCGGACCUUGCGCGAUUGAAUGAGCCGAUGUCGGAUUAGCUAGUUGGCGGGGUAAAGGCCCACCAAGGCGACGAUCCGUAGCUGGUCUGAGAGGAUGAUCAGCCACACUGGAACUGAGACACGGUCCAGACUCCUACGGGAGGCAGCAGUGGGGAAUAUUGGACAAUGGGCGCAAGUCUGAUCCAGCCAUACCGCGUGGGUGAAGAAGGCCUUCGGGUUGUAAAGCCCUUUUGUUGGGAAAGAAAAGCAGCAGGUUAAUACCACGCUGUUCUGACGGUACCCAAAGAAUAAGCACCGGCUAACUUCGUG
RNAcentral lists this ribosomal RNA (492 nucleotides) under uncultured bacterium. RNAcentral describes it as "partial 16S ribosomal RNA". It matches the Rfam family "Bacterial small subunit ribosomal RNA", at positions 29 to 507 of the family's 1533-position model. The record is from RNAcentral.